UGGGGAAUAUUGGACAAUGGGCGAAAGCCUGAUCCAGCCAUGCCGCGUGUGUGAAGAAGGUCUUCGGAUUGUAAAGCACUGUAAGUUGGGAGGAAGGGCAGUUACCUAAUACGUAUCUGUUUUGACGUUACCGACAGAAUAAGCACCGGCUAACUCUGUGCCAGCAGCCGCGGUAAUACAGAGUGUGCAAGCGUUAAUCGGAAUUACUGGGCGUAAAGCGCGCGUAGGUGGUUUGUUAAGUUGGAUGUGAAAUCCCCGGGCUCAACCUGGGAACUGCAUUCAAAACUGACAAGCUAGAGUAUGGUAGAUGGGGGUGGAAUUUCCUGUGUAGCGGUGAAAUGCGUAGAUAUAGGAAGGAACACCAGUGGCGAAGGCGACCACCUGGACUGAUACUGACACUGAGGUGCGAAAGCGUGGGGAGCAAACA
Molecule: ribosomal RNA, 427 nt
Filed under: uncultured Pseudomonas sp.
Lineage: Bacteria; Pseudomonadati; Pseudomonadota; Gammaproteobacteria; Pseudomonadales; Pseudomonadaceae
Description: bacterial SSU rRNA
Rfam family: Bacterial small subunit ribosomal RNA
Source: RNAcentral